Triticum aestivum (bread wheat) is the source of this 574-nucleotide long non-coding RNA. RefSeq lists it as uncharacterized. Lineage: Eukaryota; Viridiplantae; Streptophyta; Magnoliopsida; Poales; Poaceae. The record is from RefSeq and is a predicted model, not a curated record. The transcript is spliced from 2 exons.
AGCAGACUGAUUUUUGUGUAAAACCUGGCUUCUUCUAGAAAGGGUUUGCGUUCAGUUUAUGGCUAGUUGUUGGGGUGCUGGACGAUGCGCAGGCACGGGUCACCAAUGCUUUUUAUGAUCCAUGGAACGUGCCCUUCUAUCCAUAGCUGAAUCUGAAGGAUACAUGAAGUAUGAGUGCUGGUAACUGAUAAUGUAUUUAUUUGGUUAUUCAAAGCUACUCCCUCCGUAACCAAAUUCGGAGGGAGUAUGCAACACUCUUUGUUCAAUUACUACUUAUCUAAGAAUUUCAUUCUACAAUACUUUUUUUAAAUUCACUCAAAUUAAUGUUGCAUCAGUUUCUAGACUUCAAGGUAUAACACUCUACAGUGGACUUGUGAAAUCUGAGAUUUAGUGUUUAGGAUAUUAUGAUUUCCAAAAAUCUUGAAUGUAAAUCAGCAAAUGUGUGAUGUGCAUACAAAAAAGUUGCUAGAAUUUUGAUAUUUGAAUUGAGAUUCACACAUGUCUUACUAUUAGCUUCCCCUUGAAUAAUUAUUUCAAGUCAGCAGCUAUAUGGAAUUGAGGGUUCACUGUUUCA